This is a long non-coding RNA of Anthonomus grandis grandis, 1111 nucleotides long. RefSeq lists it as uncharacterized. The record is from RefSeq and is a predicted model, not a curated record. The transcript has 3 exons. NCBI's taxonomy places the organism in Eukaryota, Metazoa, Arthropoda, Insecta, Coleoptera, Curculionidae.
AGCAAAAUUCCCUUUUUGUGGCGAUAAAAUAACGUAAUUUAAAUGGCAAUAAAAAAGAGGACAUAUGACGUAUAUAUUGAUGUUUCUAGAAUGUCAAUUUUGACGUUCAAAAGCAGGUAGGGAAUAACUGGUAUCAAAUGAGUUUUAAUGUUAUCAAAUGAUUCAGUCAUUAACAAAUACAACAAAACAAACAAAUUUAUGAUGUUUAUUGCAGUACACUUAUACGGCGUAAUAGUUAUCUGGUGAGGCAGGUAGAGGCCCCGUCUAGUGUGCCCGAAAUGUGCCUUCAUCUAUAUCAUGCUAGAUGCUUCUGUCCAAAUCUGGAGUAUCCACAUGUCCAGCAGACUCUUCAACGAUGCAACAGCUAUAUAUGUUUUGACAUUUGAGAAGGAAGCCAAAGGUUUACCUUAUUUGUACAAGUUCGGCGUGCUUACAAAUAUUGGAAGACACCAAAAUUAAUAAUGUAUUUUAUAGAUAGAAUAGCAAUAAAAUUGGAGGUUACUUUAACUAAAUCAGAAAGAAAAAGUAUUUGAUUUAAAGAUAAGGAGCAAAAAUACCCUAGUCCCCAGUCAUCUUAGAUGAGAUAAGAGACUCAGUUUCGAAUUGCAAUUGGAACUCGCAUGCAUUUAUUGACAAAGAAAGACCUGCAUAUCAAAAAUUCAUUUAAUUUAAAAGCAGAGGAGUAUGAGUAUUUAUAAAUACAUAGGAGUAUUACAUCCAAAUGAUGCUAAAAGUGUAAAGACAUUGGGUUAAUGUUCUUUUUUAUAGGCCCUAAGAUAAUUUAUGUGUGAAACAUCCCAAAUUUAAUUCUGAGGAUUUUUUGUUAUUGAUCAUGACACAGGGCCAAGAAGAUUUGCUAAAUGAUUUUCAAGAAGACUGCAUAUGCAUGGAUCGUAAAAAUUGUCAAAGUUGUCUAUUUUCUUAAUUUCGUUAUAUUAUGUAAUUUAAAACAAAAUCAUUAUAAUAGUCAGUAUGGUUAAUUUGUGGUAAUUUUCUGUAAUAAAACUCAAAUUUCAUUAAUAUUUGAAUUUCAUGUGCCAAUUGUCAUUCACCUGAGGGGUGUUGUAGUCUGUUAUUAUCUUCAGUGAUGUAAAAUAAAAAUGUUGAAAUG